AGGAAAUACAAAUUUAUAUCUAAACUUAUAUAGAUUGGCGGCAUUUAUACUUCUAGAGGAACUUGUUUAUUAAUCGAUAAUCCACGUUAUUUUUAACUUUUAUUAAAAAUUUAUAUACCACCAUCAUAAAAAUUAAUUUAAUAAUAUUAUUUAAAAUAAUUAUAUAAUAUGUUAGGUAAAGGUGUAAUCAAUAUAAAAGCCAAAAUGAGUUACAAUAAAUUUUUAUUUAAGAAUAGAUUUUUAAAAAUUCCCUUAAAAAAGAAUUUAGAAGUAAUAUUAUAAAAUUAAUAUAAUUUGAAAUAAUAUAUAAAUGUGU
RNAcentral lists this ribosomal RNA (316 nucleotides) under Episinus antipodianus. RNAcentral's name for it is "partial 12S ribosomal RNA". Lineage: Eukaryota; Metazoa; Arthropoda; Arachnida; Araneae; Theridiidae. The record is from RNAcentral.